This is a long non-coding RNA of Spinacia oleracea (spinach), 2976 nucleotides long. RefSeq lists it as uncharacterized. The transcript has 4 exons. Lineage: Eukaryota; Viridiplantae; Streptophyta; Magnoliopsida; Caryophyllales; Amaranthaceae. The record is from RefSeq and is a predicted model, not a curated record.
AAAUUUCAAAGAUUAAAAUAUUUCAUGCCCCGCUUUCACACACCCACGAUAUCCUCAAACCCCUCUUUACUCUUAACCAACUCGCCCUAAACCCUCACUCUAUUCUUCACCAAAAUCCUAGAUCUCCUCAAUAGAUUAAUCUCCUCAACCCAAUUCUCUGUCAUCCCAUAAAUGGGGAAUCUGGAGAAUUUCACAAUUCUCACUCUUCGCCGCAAUUUCAUCCUUAAUUAUAAGCUUCUUGUGGAUAUGGAUGUCGCUUCGGUAUCGUAAUUGCAAUAUCGAAAACUUAUUACGAACCCGAUCAUAGCGUCGUCAAUAAAGUCAUCAACAGGGAAAUCACUCCUCGACGCUAAUUUCACCGCUUAAUGUAAGUAUUUUUAUUAAUUUUCUAUACAUAAAUUCUUGCAUGUUAGAUCUGUAAAAUCAACUUAUGCAAUUGAGAUUUAUGGGAGGUCUUGACGGAAUAAUUACGGGGUUGGGGAUGCCUAUUUGGGAACUAGGGACACAAUAAUACAGCAGAUUCAAACCUUUGAAUUUUAAGGGGAAACAUAUUGUUGUUCUUGGAAUUGGAGAUAAAUCUGAUUAUGAUAAAUAGAGUAAUGAUGGGGUUAAUAAGUUCAAUAAAUUUUUAAUUAAUCGAUUUAAUCAAUAAAUAGUGUAAUUUGAAGGUUUUUAUUACUUGUAUAUAUGAUAACUGAUUCUAUUUAAUAACAUUAUUUUGUUGAUUUUGUAUUCUUGGAUUUUGAUUUUGGGACUAUUUGAUUUUUUAAGAGCGCCUUAUAGUAGAAUUUAUGAUUUUUCAUACAUAUAUGAAUGGAAUAUUUAGGGAUAUAUGUAAACACACAUUAUUUCAUUCUUGUAAAUCGAGUAGUAAUAUUGCUUAAUUGAUUAAAAAGUAGAAAUUUAAUAUUGCAUAUUUAGUUGAUGAAGUGUCCCGAGUGCUUAAAUUUCUCUCUGCUCCCCUACUCAUUAACUUCUACUAUCACUUCAAGUGUUAUAAUCGUCAGUAAAUGUAUAUUCCACUGACUGUGUUAGUGUAGAAUUAUUUGUAUCACAUCUCAAAAUUAUCACUAUAUAUGGUUUUAUUACUUGUCUUUAAGUAAGAAAAAUAGUUACAAAGAGUAAACAAGUUUGAUUUUAAGGACUCAGAAAAUGUAGUUUGUGAAUUUUUGGCUCCUCUUCGGAAUUUGAGGUCUAUUUGGUACUUGCAUCUCCUCCUCCAUUUCGCAGGUGCACGACUCUUUAUCUUGUCAAUUUUUAGGGAGAAAUUUAAGUGAAUGUCGUUAUUUUUUGGGUGUUAUGGAAAUUUUUCAUUCAAUUGUGAAUGACUCUAAUUUCACAUGUUUUUUUUGGGUAAUACCGUAGUUCUAUCGGGUCCAUUUAUUAUGGAGCCAAAUAUUCAUUCGUUCUUUUAGACUUUAGGAUAUCUAUCUCUAUUCUAUAAAGGAACAGCUGAGGUCUUUUAGGUAAUUUAACUUUUUGUGUCCACCUUGAAAAAUACCAAAAUACCCUUCUUUUCGAUGUUUACAGAUGCUUGACUGCUUGCUGAGCCCUCACUUUCGUUUCUAGGGUUAGAGUUCCUCCGCCUCAUUAACUCUCGCCUACUUUCUCUCUCCUCCCUCAUCUUCGAUCUCUCCUCCCAUCACUCAAUCUCUCAUCUCGAUCUCUCCUCCCUUCACUCAAUAUCUCAUCUUCGAUCUCUCCUCCAAUCAAUUCCUUUUAUUUUUUACUUUUUUUAAUCAAAUGCCUUUCAUUACUUCUCGGCGUUCCUCACCAUUGACUCAGAGAUUGUUUUGUAAAAAAAUUCCGACAAAUGUAGGACUUGAUGAUAUUGGGGUUGCAGAUUUCGGAAUUCCAGGUUUUCGAAACGCAUUUGAAUCGAAAAAUUGAUUUCGCUGGUAAUCGGGUUAUGAUUUUCGCUGGUAAUUCUUCGAUCUAGAAAAUUUUGAAAUUUUUAUUUUUUAUUUUAGAAAACAAAUGUUUUGGGUUUUGGGAAAUUCAUCGCCGAAAUUCGUUCGGAGAUUAUGCAUUGAAAUUCUUGAAGAUUGUCAUGUUUUCCAUUGUUUGGAGGCUCAUCGAAAUUGAAGGUAUGUUUAUAUCUUUCUUUUCUUGCAAUUAGACGUUUUUAGCAAAUUUUUUUGGUGAAUUCUUUUGUAUUUUGAUUGCUUGGGUAUUUUGAAAAUUAGUUGAAUUGGUUUGUGAUUUGUGAAUGUGUGAUUUAUUGAAAUUUCUUUGUUCAUAUUGACUAAUCCCGAUUUCUGAAAAUUUGCUAAUUUUUAGUCUUUGAUUUUUCUUCGAGAUAUUUCUGGAAUUUGUUUUUUGCGUUUAAUUUUGCUUUUUUUUUUUUUCAACUUUUAGGGUUUAGAAGAUAGAAGCAUAACCAAAAACCCAUCAAAGGUGGUCGCUUCCACCUCUAAUGGUUCAAUUUGUGGGUUCAAAUCGGUUCUCCACCUCCUUCCUUCUUUUCUCCUUGCUGACACUUUCCAGCAUGAAAUCGUCCCUGCUGAGCUAAUUGAUCGCAUUGAUUCACUCGGGUCAUCUGCAAACCUCUGCAAGUAAAAGCAGUGUGUUAGAGGAAGAAAGAGUAGAGAGGAGCAGCAAUGGAUCGAGUUCGUCAGCCCAGAAGGCCUCCGCCUAGCCGGUCAUCGUCCCUUGGAGAUGAGGCAGCUUCGCGCUGAAAUUGGGGCCGUCUCUAAAGCUGACAGAAUGCUGACAGUUUUGAUCCGGCGCAUUCUGAUAGAAGUAUUGAGCUUGAGCUGGGAAGAGAUAUUCAAUGCCAACAGCGAAAAUGUGAUCCCUUUUCAUCCUGAUGGCUGGAUGAAGUUGUUUGAUUUCUGUCUGGAUGUAGUGUUGUUUAAAAUGAAUAAUCUGUCUGCAUUUUUAGUUGACCUUUUUAGCAUUUUAUGUUGAAAUUGAAUUUGGGUAUGUUUGUUUUUGUGUUUUGAGAAAUUAAGUUACUUUUUUAUAACAUGAAAA